Trachymyrmex cornetzi is the source of this 73-nucleotide non-coding RNA. Lineage: Eukaryota; Metazoa; Arthropoda; Insecta; Hymenoptera; Formicidae. The record is from Rfam.
GUCUCGGUGGUCUAAAGGCUUAGGACGCUCGCACGGAAUGCAAGAGAUCCGGGUUCGAUUCUCGGCCGAGGCA